UGGGGAAUAUUGCACAAUGGGCGCAAGCCUGAUGCAGCGACGCCGCGUGAGGGAUGACGGCCUUCGGGUUGUAAACCUCUGUUAGCAUCGAAGAAGCGAAAGUGACGGUAGGUGCAGAGAAAGCGCCGGCUAACUACGUGCCAGCAGCCGCGGUAAUACGUAGGGCGCAAGCGUUGUCCGGAAUUAUUGGGCGUAAAGAGCUUGUAGGCGGUUGGUCGCGUCUGCUGUGAAAGGCCGGGGCUUAACUCCGGUUUUGCAGUGGGUACGGGCUAACUAGAGUGCAGUAGGGGAGACUGGAAUUCCUGGUGUAGCGGUGGAAUGCACAGAUAUCAGGAGGAACACCGAUGGCGAAGGCAGGUCUCUGGGCUGUAACUGACGCUGAGAAGCGAAAGCAUGGGGAGCGAACAGGAUUAGAUACCCUGGUAGUCCAUGCCGUAAACGUUGGGCACUAGGUGUGGGGGACAUUCCACGUUUUCCGCGCCGUAGCUAACGCAUUAAGUGCCCCGCCUGGGGAGUACGGCCGCAAGGCUA
This 531-nucleotide ribosomal RNA is filed under the name uncultured bacterium. RNAcentral describes it as "bacterial SSU rRNA". It matches the Rfam family "Bacterial small subunit ribosomal RNA", at positions 355 to 896 of the family's 1533-position model. The record is from RNAcentral.